GGGAGAACCAAACCGCUUGAAAAUUUUCGCGAAUCGGCAUUUGGUAUAUUUUAAAUAUACCGACGGAAUACCGACGAACCCGUGUCCGUCGGAAUCCACGGAAAUAAAAAUCCUUCUCCUUUCUUCUUCGUUAUCUCCGCGGCCUCUCUCUCUCUCAAAACUCUCCGGCGAUUUCGGCGAUUUCGGCGACUCUCCGGCGAUUCCGGCCUCUCUUCACCGGCG
Molecule: long non-coding RNA, 222 nt
Filed under: Brassica napus (rape)
Lineage: Eukaryota; Viridiplantae; Streptophyta; Magnoliopsida; Brassicales; Brassicaceae
Description: long non-coding RNA (BNAP_LNC022374)
Source: RNAcentral